UGACUGGCUAUCAGGGUAGAUUUUUUGCAGGUAACAGAGGGGCAGGACAGGAAGAGGAAGCAUAAAAGGCCGGACCAAAAGCUUAGUUGGGAGGGAGCUGCAGAGCAAGACAGACACAUCUUCCCUGCUACUGGAGUGCGACGCUGAGGAGAACUGCAGCUACACCAAGGGCCUGUGUGAGCUUCCAGAGAGCCCUGACACUCCCGAUGCUGAGGAGCAGCUACCGCUACCCGUGGCAGUAUAUCCCGAGGAGACUGAGGAUGACACUCGGAUGCAGAAAAUAUUUCCAUUAAGAAAAUAUAAGAACAUAAGACUGGACAGGACCCUCUGGACAGGACAGUUCCCCGCUAUCGCAAGCAACAUCAUCAUAUAAUCUUUGUGUAUAUGAGCAAUGAAUGAUAAUACUAAUGUAAUCCAAUAGUUAUUUCAUUAUGCAUAAGCUAAUUUUUUGGGGUGAAAUAUAUAAUCACAAAUAU
Molecule: long non-coding RNA, 476 nt
Organism: Mauremys reevesii (Reeves's turtle)
Lineage: Eukaryota; Metazoa; Chordata; Testudines; Geoemydidae
Exons: 3
Source: RefSeq, a predicted model, not a curated record